UUUUUUAUCCAUUUCAGAAUAAUGCUGUAACAUAACAAAAUGUGGACUAAGUCACUGUACCACACUCACCCAUUGUGAUGCGUAAAAAGGCGACCGAGAUAAAUAGAAGCAGUUAGCCAUGCCAUCAUGGAAGUUGUAGUAUUUUGUGUACAAAUCCCAAGAGAUGGUGACACAUUCUUGUUAUAAAAGUGCAGUUUAACCAGAAACGUAACCAUCACUUGACUUCAUGGGUUAGGGAGAAUAUGAACAAGAGCAGACAAACACCACUUAGCCAUUAGCCAGACAGAAGUCAAUGACUUACAGGAAAGCCAUGCUAGUUGAAAGACGCAGUGAGACUAAACCGAAGAAGGUAGCUUGUGUUGUACAAAGUUAAAUCUUUGCAAAAACGACAGACAGGCGUUAGCUAGUGCUUCUUCAGAGAGAAAAUGGCAAUCCGAACGGGUUGAGACUAUUUUUUUCAUUUGCAUCAAUAUUGUCCAGUUCGAGGUAAAUAUAGACCUUCACCGUGCAUUGUGGCAUUGACCUCUAUUGCAUUCCUCACUUGUUUUCCAAAAUUCCCACAUUUCAACUAAGACAUGUACAUUUUUGGGGGGGCACAUUUUUGGUGAAUAAUGCAAAGCAGAAAUGCAUUUGACCAAUGCAGGCUAACAGACAAUAGAAAGAAUGUACCCACCAGAGCACUGAGUGACCGCAGGAGAAUGGGUGGUGUUGAGUGGGUUAGGAUGGAGCCUACAGGUGCAGAAUUUCAACCCCUGCACAGUGGAGGCUGGUGGGAGGAGCUAUAGGACAGGCUCAUUUUAAGGUCCGAAUGGCAUGAAUGGAAUGGUUUCAAACAUAUGGAAACCACGUUUGACUCCAUUCCAUUGAGCCAGUCCUGCAAUAGCACCUCCAACCAGCAGUGGCAUAGGUGCAGAUAGCAGGCAUAGCAAAAAAAGGCAUUGCAGUGUACCACUACAUCGUUCCCUUGAGCAGAUGAGGGUACAGGAAGUGAUGAAGGAAGUGUCUGGAAUAGCAGUUAACUGAGCAUAAAAAUUCCACAUACAGUGCAUGUAUGCAGCACCAAAUGCCUUGUAAGAAUAGAAGUGUGAAUGAGUCAUUUCUAAUGUGAAUACAGACAUUAAAAUAAGUGUAUCAGAAUAUACAUGUAAAGACCAUAUUUUUGCAUGUUGUCCACCACCCUUUAUAAAAAGAGGCCACCUCAAAUAAAAUGCCUUCCUGCCAAAUAUCACAAAGGUACACAAACAUACACACACCAAAUGGGAUAAUGGUUUGAUUUGAAACACGUUGGUCUUGACAUAUUUUCACAACUAGGGAGAUUCUGAUUUGUGUGCUGGUCUAAAGUAAAUAAUUUGUCGACUCGUGGGGCAACAAUGCAGAGAAGAAUUAACUUGUGUCAGUGUGGUGGAUUUAUCCCCAGGUCCUUAAUGGUAAAGCUAUAAUACAUUAUAUCAAAAUAUAUUAUAAUGUUUGGUUAAAGGUGUUCGAUAUUUACGCAAUUAUCACAUUUAGAACAUUCUGAAGGCAGAUUGUCUCAUUAUUUUUUCCUUGUGAUGGAAACUUGUUUUGGAAAGACAAUGAUAUUCUGCAGCAGAAAGCCCUACAAGCGUAGCGUACUAGCGCAAGCAAACCAAUUCCAGACAAAUUAAACACGGUAGGGGAUCUUUCCAGUUUCUCAAUACUUUUAUUGUUUGGCUCGAUGAAAUCCCAUUACACAACGACUCACUGCGUUAACCAGUUGAAAAAAAAAAAAAGAGCAACAUCUGAAUGGUUGAGUUCAUCAAGUUAACCUUACGAGGUCUUUCCCUCAAAGUUCCAGUUUUACAGUGAAGAAUAAAACACACGGCAACAGUUUGUUGUGUUACAGUUACAGAGCUUGCACAGGUAGGGUUCUCUGUACUAGCAGAAGCUAUAACAUGGCUGCAUGAGCUGUGCAGCGGGUUAGGCUAAACAAAGCUUUUAUCAUUACGUUGGCGUGUACCAACUCGGUGAUAUCUGGCAGAGAAGCAUAUUAAAAGAGGCUUAAAAAAAGUACAGUAAAUGUAAUAUCUCCCAAAUAAACCCUGAGUAUUAGUCAUUGGUUAGCCGUGGACUGGGCGUACACAUUACAAACAAAAUAAUCAAAUGGCUCAUUUGAGGUGUUUUCCUGAUUGUGUUCGCAUGCGGCGGCGGGCCUCUGAGGCAAGGCAGGUGAGAGCUUAAAGAUUGUUGAUACGCUAGGUCAGUGGAGAUCGUAAACAGAAUGGUGAAAGAUGAGUGGGCAAUGUUUGAGAGGAAGGGAGAAGGGUGAAAAGGUAGUUUGGAGGGAGAAGUGAUUUGCAGCUGUGUAGUUUUAUCCUUCCUGUAAUGAUACAAGGUUGAAACCAUUACAUCCUUAACUGUGCAAGAGAUAGCAUUGAUGACAUCACUGACACUUUCUAAAGGGUCACACUGUGGCGAUCUGCUGUUCUGAUUGGAUAGGGAAUUCAGGAAAAAACUGCCUCAGCAGUGAAAGCUUUUUAGGGCUUUUACCAUCUCCAGGAAUCACAACAACUAUACUGUACACAGCCAGGAGAGACUGAACUACAUAAAGUAAUCAAACCCCACAAAGUCUGGAAGCUUCUAGUGUGAAGGGGGGAAAUAACAAUAUUCUACUCAGUCUUCUCACUUUAACUUAAUCAGUCAUAUCAUUAUUUACACCUCUGCCAUCUAUAUAAACUCUAAUAAAUAAAAUGUGUUCUUUCCAGAGAAAAACCUUUAUAUCUGAGGUGUCAAGCGCUAAAGUGGUUUUUGGAAAAGGUGGGAUCAGUUUUAGGUGGUACUGUAUUAUAUGGUGUGGGUAAAUAGUGCACACCUAACCUUCCUCUAGUUGCUUGUCUAUCAGUGUGUAUGUGUUGGGCUGGUGGUGAAGGACAGUGUACGCGCCUGUUACUCCGCAGUAACAGCAGCCUCGGGAGCUACCUCCUCCUGUGCGGCCGUACCAUUGCUCUCUGGCUCUGCCACAGCAACUGCUUCCUCGGCGAUGGUGGGCACGGCAAUGGCCUCUGCAGCAUCCUCCACGGCCUCGGCCACUAUGACCACUUCCUCUGCUGCCGCCUCUACUUCCUUAGCCACCUCAACGACCUCCUCAGCGACCUCGGCGAUGACUUCAGCAGCCUCAGCGACAGCUCCAGCAAAGGCCCCACCACACAGCAGGGCAUAGAUGAUGUUAUCCCCAGUACCACCGGGGAGCGACGACAUCUGUCGCCGUGGCAGCAC
This 3234-nucleotide long non-coding RNA is filed under the name Salmo salar (Atlantic salmon). RNAcentral describes it as "lncRNA (ENSSSAG00000101351.1)". Lineage: Eukaryota; Metazoa; Chordata; Actinopteri; Salmoniformes; Salmonidae. The record is from RNAcentral.